Molecule: non-coding RNA, 331 nt
Organism: Carcharodon carcharias (great white shark)
Lineage: Eukaryota; Metazoa; Chordata; Chondrichthyes; Lamniformes; Lamnidae
Source: the annotation of a RefSeq genome assembly
CUACAAUAAACCGGCGCACUGAUUGCACGCAGUAAAUACACCGACCUACCGCCAUCGGGAGAUGCCUUUGUCUCACCUCUGGUUUCUGUUUCUGGUGUUACCAGUCGGUUUUACAGAUAUGGCGGCCGUGCUGAUCCAACAGACUCCCGCUUACAUAUCCGGUUCCCCGGGCACUCCAGUCAGAAUCGAGUGCCUUUACCCAGAAGCCAGUGUUAACAGCUAUUUCUACUGGUACCGAUGGCAUCCUGACCGUGAGCCUCAGAACCUUUUCUAUUCCAACAUCGUUGGCACGGUCAUUCCCUCCGAUGAGGUGAAUGGUUUCACCGCGUGA